RNAcentral lists this ribosomal RNA (570 nucleotides) under Kazachstania psychrophila. RNAcentral's name for it is "eukaryotic LSU rRNA". It matches the Rfam family "Eukaryotic large subunit ribosomal RNA", at positions 56 to 640 of the family's 3401-position model. Lineage: Eukaryota; Fungi; Ascomycota; Saccharomycetes; Saccharomycetales; Saccharomycetaceae. The record is from RNAcentral.
GAAAAGAAACCAACAGGGAUUGCCUUAGUAACGGCGAGCGAAGCGGCAAAAGCUCAAAUUUGAAAUCUAGUACCUUCGGUGCUCGAGUUGUAAUUUGUAGAGGGAUACUUUGGGACCGUUCCUUGUCUAUGUUCCUUGGAACAGGACGUCAUAGAGGGUGAGAAUCCCGUGUGGCGAGGAGUGCGGUUCUAUGUAAAGUUCUCUCGAAGAGUCGAGUUGUUUGGGAAUGCAGCUCUAAGUGGGUGGUAAAUUCCAUCUAAAGCUAAAUAUUGGCGAGAGACCGAUAGCGAACAAGUACAGUGAUGGAAAGAUGAAAAGAACUUUGAAAAGAGAGUGAAAAAGUACGUGAAAUUGUUGAAAGGGAAGGGCAUUUGAUCAGACAUGGUGUUUUGCGCCCUCCGCUCCUUGUGGGUGGGGGACUCUCGCAGCUCACUGGGCCAGCAUCAGUUUUGGCGGUAGGAUAAAUCUGUAGGAACGUAACUUGCUUCGGGAAGUAUUAUAGCCUUCAGGAAUACUGCCAGCCGGGACUGAGGACUGCGACAUUCGUCAAGGAUGCUGGCAUAAUGGUUA